CAGGAACUCGACUGGCAGAAAGGGCAGGCAGGAGAAAAAGGAGGCCCCUGAAACUGAAGAAGCCAAAGAUGCUGAAGCUGGCAAGGAUGCCGCAGAGGAGGCCCCUGGUGAAGAUGCAGUGAAGGACACUGAUGUGGCGAUGAAGCCUGCUGAAGAGGUGAAGGAGGCUCCUACUGAAACUGAAGGUGCAGAGAAUGCUGUGGACAAGGCUGAUGCUCCUGCUCCAGCACCAGCAGCAGAAGAAAACAAGGAAACUGAGAAACCUGCUGAAUCUGUUGUCGCUCCUCCCGCUCCAUUGGAGGAGAAGAAAGACGCUGUUGAAGAGAACAAGGAAGAUGCCAAGCCUGCUGAGGCUGAAGCUGCUGCUCCAGCUCCAGCAAGCAACCCUACUGAGAUCUCGGCCCCUGCUCCC
Molecule: long non-coding RNA, 412 nt
Filed under: Setaria italica (foxtail millet)
Lineage: Eukaryota; Viridiplantae; Streptophyta; Magnoliopsida; Poales; Poaceae
Description: long non-coding RNA (SITA_LNC002628)
Source: RNAcentral